UACGUAGGGGCGCAAGCGUUGUUCCGGAAUUAUUGGGCGUAAAGGAGCUCGUAGGCGGUUUGUCGCGUCUGCUGUGGAAAACCCGAGGCUCAACCUCGGGCCUGCAGUGGGUACGGGCAGACUAGAGGUGUGGUAGGGGAGACUGGAAUUCCUGGUGAUAGCGGUGAAAUGCGCAGAUAUCGAGGGAGGGAACAGCCGUAUGGCGAAGGCAGGUCUCGUGGGACCGCAGCUACAUG
This 236-nucleotide ribosomal RNA is filed under the name uncultured bacterium. RNAcentral's name for it is "partial 16S ribosomal RNA". It matches the Rfam family "Bacterial small subunit ribosomal RNA", at positions 524 to 745 of the family's 1533-position model. The record is from RNAcentral.